UACGGAGGGUGCGAGCGUUGUCCGGAAUCAUUGGGCGUAAAGGGCGCGUAGGUGGCCCGGUCAGUCCGUGGUGAAAGCGCGGGGCUCAACCCCGCGUCGGCCAUGGAUACUGCUGGGCUGGAGCACUGUAGAGGCAGGCGGAAUUCCGGGUGUAGCGGUGGAAUGCGUAGAGAUCCGGAAGAACACCGGUGGCGAAGGCGGCCUGCUGGGCAGUGUAGCUGACACUGAGGCGCGACAGCGUGGGGAGCAAACAGG
This 255-nucleotide ribosomal RNA is filed under the name uncultured bacterium. Its description in RNAcentral is "partial 16S ribosomal RNA". It matches the Rfam family "Bacterial small subunit ribosomal RNA", at positions 524 to 776 of the family's 1533-position model. The record is from RNAcentral.